UCUUUUUAAUGAUAGGCCACUGUUUUGACCUGCUGUGUGGUGAGGCCUUUUCCCCUGUGAAGCCUUCACCUGAACUAUGGUGUGAUUCUCUCCCGAGCAGGAAGUUUGCCCCUCGCUGUUCUGUUUGUACCAAGCCCAUCAUGCCUGAUGCAGGGCAGGAGGAGACAGUCAGGAUUGUCGCCCUCGAUCGCAGCUUCCAUGUGAAUUGCUACAAGUGUGAGGAUUGUGGCUUCAUCCUGUCGUCAGAAGGUGAGGGCUGUGGCUGCUAUCCGUUGGACGGUCACAUCCUGUGCAAGAACUGCAGCUCACGGCGCAUUCAGGAACUCUCGGCGAAAAUUACCACCGACUGCUGACAGCCCUGCUCGGCAUCCGCGUCUCUCCGCAGG
Chiloscyllium plagiosum (whitespotted bambooshark) is the source of this 386-nucleotide non-coding RNA. The record is from RefSeq and is a predicted model, not a curated record. NCBI's taxonomy places the organism in Eukaryota, Metazoa, Chordata, Chondrichthyes, Orectolobiformes, Hemiscylliidae.